GUUUUGUUCUGCAGUUGAUAGAAUGUUAUCUGCUUUAGAUUAUUUGUCUAUAGCCUCCUCUUUUAGGUCCACAAUUAUAUUGAUUUAGUUUGUUGCAUUUGGAGAACCAUUAGAAUCGCUUAGGAUAUAUAGUUCUGAUAAGUUAUAAUAAUUUUGAAUUUGCUAGUUGAUAUGAAGUAAAUCAUUUUAGCCAUUCUAGUUGUUAUUUGUUAUGAAGUAAUAUUGCUAUUUUUAAUGAAGAAUGUAACUUUUGCUAAUGUAAA
Molecule: unclassified non-coding RNA, 263 nt
Filed under: Hevea brasiliensis (rubber tree)
Lineage: Eukaryota; Viridiplantae; Streptophyta; Magnoliopsida; Malpighiales; Euphorbiaceae
Source: RNAcentral